UACGAAGGGGGCUAGCGUUGUUCGGAUUUACUGGGCGUAAAGCGCACGUAGGCGGAUCUUUAAGUCAGAGGUGAAAUCCCAAGGCUCAACCUUGGAACUGCCUUUGAUACUGGGGAUCUCGAGUCCGGGAGAGGUGAGUGGAACUGCGAGUGUAGAGGUGAAAUUCGUAGAUAUUCGCAAGAACACCAGUGGCGAAGGCGGCUCACUGGUCCGGUACUGACGCUGAGGUGCGAAAGCGUGGGGAGCAAACAGG
This 253-nucleotide ribosomal RNA is filed under the name uncultured bacterium. Its description in RNAcentral is "partial 16S ribosomal RNA". It matches the Rfam family "Bacterial small subunit ribosomal RNA", at positions 524 to 776 of the family's 1533-position model. The record is from RNAcentral.